This 433-nucleotide ribosomal RNA is filed under the name uncultured bacterium. RNAcentral describes it as "partial 16S ribosomal RNA". It matches the Rfam family "Bacterial small subunit ribosomal RNA", at positions 29 to 507 of the family's 1533-position model. The record is from RNAcentral.
AACGAACGCUGGCGGCAUGCCUAACACAUGCAAGUCGAACGAGACCUUCGGGUCUAGUGGCGCAAGGGUGCGUAACGCGUGGGAACCUGCCCUUAGGUUCGGAAUAACUCCCCGAAAGGGGUGCUAAUACCGGAUAAUGUCUUCGGACCAAAGAUUUAUCGCCUUUGUGUGGGCCCGCGUUGGUUUAGCUAGUUGGUAGGGUAAAAGCCUACCAAGGCGACGAUCCAUAGCUGGUCUGAGAGGAGGAUCAGCCACACUGGGACUGAGACACGACCCAGACUCCUACGGGAGGCAGCAGUGGGGAAUAUUGGACAAUGGGCGAGAGCCUGAUCCAGCAAUGCCGCGUGAGUGAUGAAGGCCUUAGGGUUGUAAAGCUCUUUUACCCGGGAUGAUAAUGACAGUACCGGGAGAAUAAGCUCCGGCUAACUCCGUG